UACGGAGGGUGCAAGCGUUAUCCGGAUUCACUGGGUUUAAAGGGUGCGUAGGUGGAUCUGUAAGUCAGUGGUGAAAUCUCCAAGCUUAACUUGGAAACUGCCGUUGAUACUAUAGAUCUUGAAUGCUGUGGAGGUGAGCGGGAAUAUGUCAUGUAGCGGUGAAAUGACUUAGUAUAUGACAUAGAACACCAAUUGCGAAAGGCAGCUCACUACCCAGACUAUU
RNAcentral lists this ribosomal RNA (223 nucleotides) under uncultured bacterium. RNAcentral describes it as "partial 16S ribosomal RNA". It matches the Rfam family "Bacterial small subunit ribosomal RNA", at positions 524 to 741 of the family's 1533-position model. The record is from RNAcentral.